UGCCGCUUGCGAGGGCGUAUGGUGGAUGCCUUGGCAGACAGUACCGAUGAAGGACGUUUGAGGAUGCGAUAAUCCUAGGGGAGCCUCCAACAUGGCUUUGAUCCUAGGGUCUCCGAAUGGGGGAACCCGCCGGCCGUCAUGGGCCGGCACCGCCUAUGGGCGGGGGGUACGCAGGGAAGUGAAACAUCUCAGUACCUGCAGGAAGGGAUACUCCGUGAGUAGUGGCGAGCGAAAGCGGAUCAGACCAAACCGGUUGCGCGUGAUACCCGUCGGGGGUUGCGUUGCCGGUGUUGUGGGAUCACGUGUCCCGGUUCCGACGGGCCGGGCGGGAGUCAUAAAACGGCUUGCCAGGGGAACAGGCUUGAAGGCCUGGCCGUAGAGGGUGCCAGCCCCGUACCUGGACGUGAGCCGUCUUCCGAUCGUGUUGUCCCAAGUAGCGCGGGCCUCGUGGAAUCCCGCGUGAAUCAGCCCAGACCGUUGGGUAAGUCUAAGCAUACCUGUCUGACCGAUAGCGUACCAGUACCGUGAGGGAAAGGUGAAAAGCACCCCGGGAGGGGAGUGAAACAGUUCCUGAAACCGUGCGCCCACAAACCGUCGGAGCCUCUGUGUGGGGUGACGGCGUGCCUAUCGAAAAAUGAGUCUGCGAGUCAGUGGCGGGUGGCGAGCAUAAGCCGUGUGGCGUAUGCGUAGCGAAAGCGAGUCUUAAAAGGCGUUUUUAGUCGCUUGUCCUGGACCCGAAGCGGGAUGAUCUAGCCCUGGGCAGGUUGAAGCGCGGGUAAGACCGCGUGGAGGACCGAACCCACCUGGGUUGAAAACCGGGGGGAUGACCUGGGGCUAGGGGUGAAAGGCCAAUCAAAUUCCGUGAUAGCUGGUUCUCUCCGAAAUGCAUUUAGGUGCAGCGUCGGUCGAUUGCGUCGCGGGGGUAGAGCUACCGGAUGCUUGCGGGCCCUUGUUGGGUACCAACAGCAGCCGAACUCCGAAUACCGUUGACGUGUAUUCCGGCAGUGAGUCGGCGGGGGAUAAGCUCCGUCGUCGAGAGGGAGACAGCCCAGACCGUCGUCUAAGGUCCCGAAGCGUGUGCUAAGUGGGAAAGGAUGUGGAGUCGCAUAGACAGCCAGGAGGUUGGCUCAGAAGCAGCCAUCCUUGAAAGAGUGCGUAACAGCUCACUGGUCUAGUGGUUCCGCGCCGACAAUGUAGCGGGGCUCAAGCACACCACCGAAGACGCGGCAGUAUUUUGUACUGGGUAGGAGAGCGUCCCAUGAGGGGCGAAGCGGCCGUGUGAACGCGCCGUGGACUUCAUGGGAGUGAGAAUGCAGACAUGAGUAGCGAGAGACGGGUGAAGAUCCCGUCCGCUGGAUGACCAAGGGUUCCAGGGCCACGUUCAUCGUCCCUGGGUGAGUCGGGUCCUAAGGCGAGGCCGACAGGCGUAGUCGAAUGGAUGAACGGGUGGAUAUUCCCGUACCGACCAUGGACCGGCAAAACCGAGACGGUGAGUACUAACCUCCGCCUCGUGGUGGUUCCUUCCUUCGGGUUGGUGUCGCCGCGUGGUGUUGGGAGCGUAGCCGCAGUAGGUCAGCGCAGGGGUGACACGGAAUGGGAGCCGGCCGCGGAGGUGGUUUUCCGUGGUCAAGCACGCAGCCAGUCAUGUAGGCAAAUCCGCAUGGCGCGCAUGGCGAGGUGUGAUGAUGGGAGCCGUUGUGGCUCGAUAUCCGGUUGUCCAGGCCGUCGAGAAAAGCCUCGGCGUGAGGGCCAUGGCCGCCCGUACCCCAAACCGACACUGGUGGUCAGGUAGAGAAUACCAAGGCGAUCGAGCGAAUCCUGGUCAAGGAACUCGGCAAAUCACUCCCGUGCCUUCGGUAUAAGGGAGACCCGCUGGGGUGAACCGGCUAGCCCGGGGAGCUUUGGUGGGUGGCACAGACCAGGGGGUAGCGACUGUUUACCAAAAACACAGGUGCAUGCGAAGGCGAAAGCCGCUGUAUAUGCACUGACGCCUGCCCGGUGCCGGAAGGUUAAGAGGAUCCGUCAAUCCCUUCGGGGACGAAGCGGUGAAUUCAAGCCCCGGUAAACGGCGGUGGUAACUAUAACCAUCCUAAGGUAGCGAAAUUCCUUGUCGGGUAAGUUCCGACCUGCACGAAUGGCGUA
RNAcentral lists this ribosomal RNA (2142 nucleotides) under human gut metagenome. RNAcentral's name for it is "bacterial LSU rRNA". It matches the Rfam family "Bacterial large subunit ribosomal RNA", at positions 1 to 2003 of the family's 2925-position model. The record is from RNAcentral.